Molecule: long non-coding RNA, 2523 nt
Organism: Salvia miltiorrhiza (redroot sage)
Lineage: Eukaryota; Viridiplantae; Streptophyta; Magnoliopsida; Lamiales; Lamiaceae
Exons: 2
Source: RefSeq, a predicted model, not a curated record
UGUCACAGCCCGCAAUCCCUAAGGAUGGCUUAACCGGGGUUAUGACUCGGGAAGGGGAUUCAGAAGCGGGAAAAGAAAGGGGCAUCAUUUGAAACCGUAAAUCUGACUUAACUUAAGAAAAAUCAUCGUAUUUACUCAUUAAUACUCUUUUGAACAGUCUAUGAAAGACAACAUAAAACUUAAUUAAUAUCAUUAAUCAAGUUAUACAUCAUAUGAAACCAUUCUCUUAAGACUCAAAGUAUGACAUAACAUACUAUAACAUCAACAACAUCUUGCAGCGGAAAGUAGCUAGACAUAUGUAUGAAGACAUAUUCUAGACAGGUUAACUAUUUAUUAACAACCCUGGAGACUCCGCUCAUUGCAGCACCAUCAUCACAUCAGCUCAACCUGCACAUUUAGAAAACAUAUGCAGGGCUGAGUACAAAAGCACUCAGUGGGCACGUAUGCCUAGGUAUAAAAAUACAUGCUUGAAAACUGUAAAUUGUCAUGCCAUCAUAAACAGUACAGCAAGGGAGUUUUUCGCUAAAAAGGCCCAAGCUUACUAAAUUCAUUUGUGAUUCUUAAAGUUCGUCUGCAGACUAAGUUCUCUUGUAAUCUAUCAUAUCUGGAACUGUGUGCCGGAGAGGUGGCCACCUCUCACGGUCACUUGACCGGCCAACCCGCUAGAUGACUCACGGUCACUGGUGUACACUAGCCCUGGCAGGAUAGCUAUCAACUGCUCAGGACCCGAAUUCGAUUGCAUCAUUGGCAAAGCCAAAGCAGAUAGAUAUCAUACUAAAAUUUAAACAUUUUAUGGCAAGACAACAGUUGUAAUAUUUUCCAGUUCAAAGAUUUGUAACGAAAUAACUUGUUCAAAGGUAGCAUUAAACUCGUUUGAUAGAUAUAUAAAACUGAAAUUAACAGUUAAAUCAUCUCAUGCAUUCAUUCGUAUAAGAGGCCUACGACACGCAGGGGAUCUCUAUAUACGUAUAGUAAAAGUAAUGCCCACCUUAUUCGUUCCCACUAGGGGCGUAGAGUUACCUCCUUCUUUAGCUUUCACUUCCCGUCUGGACCUUUAUUGACGAAGAGUCGAUAAGUUCGAGAAGAAAGUCGUGUAAGAAAGGAAGAUAGGUCUCUAAACUAAACUAUCUCCUUUUUUAUGAUUUUAGGGUUCUAGCAUCCAUAUUAAUCUUGUCUCGUCUCGUUCAAAACCUUAAACUCAAAACAUUUAUCACAUAACUAACAUUUAGGUUCGAAACUAUUUAUUCGAAUAUCAACAUGCGCAUCAACCAUAACUCAUUCUACUCACGCCAUCAAGUCAGAUAUUCCGUCAUUUAAUAACAAAUCAUAUAAUAUUACAUAAACAAAUUAUGUCAUCAUAGAUCAUGCUUUCUCAUAUUUAAAAUAAUUUAAUCAUUUUCAAACAAUCCAUAUUAAUAAGUCAUUUGAAAAGAAUUAAUUUAAAUAAGAGUUUAACUCAAAAUAUUUUAUUUUAAAGUCCAUUUGUAAAGAUACUUGAAAUAAAAGAACUUCAUUUAAAUAAUUAAUUUAAAGGUCAAUAUAUAAUUAAAUUAAUCAAGCUCAAUUUAAAUUAAUAAUUAAGGGCUCAAAUAAUUUAAAUAGAUAUAAGCCCAAAUUAAUUAGAUAAAUUAAGUCUAUUAUGUUUUUCUUUGAAUAAGGUCCAAACAAUUAUUAAAAUCGACCCAAGUCUCGGCCCAACAGCAAGCCCAACAUAAUUAAAUAAAAAGCCCAGCCAAUUUAAUUAAAAAUCGGCCCAUCAUAGGCCCAAUUCUCAAGCCCACUCCCAAUACCUAAACCCUAUUUCCCUUAUUCCUUCCUCCUACAUCACACGCACACACUCAGUUUCUUCUCUCACUCUCGGCGCCUCUGCGCUCUCUCCGCCGCCGCCGCCGUUCAACGGCGCCAUCGCCGCCGACGAGCGGCGCUCUGCUCUCCCUCGGCAUCUCUCCUCUUCCUCUCGGUUCUCUCCCUCUCUCUCAGUUCUCACUGACUCACACACACACGCACGCAGACACGGCGUAAGCCGCGCCGCCGCGUCGUCUUCUUCCCCGGCGAGGACAGCACCGGUCAGCCAUCUCCCUUCUCUCGACUCCGGCAGCAGUAGCAGCAGCUGUUAAUGAAGCCAGCCACCGCCGAAGCCCUGAAUCACCGACGCCCUCGAAUCCGGCGACCACAGGACAGCCAUGGCCGCCGCCCUUCCUCCCUCCGAUUUCCGGCGAAGCCGCAGCCGCAGCCGCCGACAACCCAGAACGGAAACCACCGCGGCUCCGUCGCCGUCCGUCAACCGCCGGCGACGACGAGCCACCGAGGCUGCCCUCCCCCUGACCUCGACUCACACACGCAAUCAGCCAACACAAAGGGUUUUUUGUGCAAGAAUCAUAUACUGUAAUUGCUCAAAUAAAAGUUUUAACUCUUUCCUUGUAACUUCAGUUCACAAGUACAUAUUUAGUAACUGUAAAUCUAUGAAUCUGCUACUCAUUUUCUUCAUUUAUCAAAGCAUAUGUAAAUCUGAGUUAAUGAGCA